UGAGGAAUAUUGGUCAAUGGACGGAAGUCUGAACCAGCCAUGCCGCGUGAAGGAAUAAGGCCCUAUGGGUCGUAAACUUCUUUUGUGGUGGAGCAAUAAGAUCUACGCGUAGGUCGAUGAGAGUACGUCACGAAUAAGCAUCGGCUAACUCCGUGCCAGCAGCCGCGGUAAUACGGAGGAUGCGAGCGUUAUCCGGAUUCAUUGGGUUUAAAGGGUGCGUAGGUGGCCGAUUAAGUCAGCGGUGAAAGUCAGUGGCUCAACCAUUGAAUUGCCGUUGAAACUGGUUGGCUUGAGUACGUACGGGGCAGGCGGAAUGCGUGGUGUAGCGGUGAAAUGCAUAGAUAUCACGCAGAACCCCGAUCGCGAAGGCAGCCUGCCAGGCCGUGACUGACACUGAUGCACGAAAGCGUGGGUAUCGAACAGGAUUAGAUACCCUGGUAGU
Molecule: ribosomal RNA, 442 nt
Filed under: uncultured Parabacteroides sp.
Lineage: Bacteria; Pseudomonadati; Bacteroidota; Bacteroidia; Bacteroidales; Tannerellaceae
Description: bacterial SSU rRNA
Rfam family: Bacterial small subunit ribosomal RNA
Source: RNAcentral